Cinara cedri is the source of this 239-nucleotide non-coding RNA. The record is from the annotation of a GenBank genome assembly. NCBI's taxonomy places the organism in Eukaryota, Metazoa, Arthropoda, Insecta, Hemiptera, Aphididae.
AUUCGUAUGUAUUCUAAUCCUAUUACAUAAUAUCACAUGGAGACUAAAUGGAUAAUAAUUUUAGUUGUAAAAUUAAAAUAUGUGAAACUCCGCGACGAUUGCCUGACUGAAUAAUAGCGAGGAAUAUAUUGAUUGUAUACUAAUAAGACGCGUUUUGCAUUUGUUGUGCCUAUAAACCAGAAACCUGAAAAAUUGCUCUGAUUUUCUAGUGUUCCGUUCUUUUCUGAAAUUCAAUUAUC